UACGGAGGGUGCAAGCGUUACUCGGAAUCACUGGGCGUAAAGCGCGCGCAGGCGGCUAGAUAAGUUGGAAGUGAAAUCCUAUGGCUCAACCAUAGAACUGCUUCUAAAACUGUUUAGCUAGAGUCUGGGAGGGGAAGAUGGAAUUAGUAGUGUAGGGGUAAAAUCCGUAGAGAUUACUAGGAAUACCAAAAGCGAAGGCGAUCUUCUGGAACAGUACUGACGCUGAGGCGCGAAAGCGUGGGGAGCAAACAGGAUUAGAUACCCUGGUAGUCCACGCCCUAAACGAUGAAUGUUAGUCGUCGGGACUCUAGUAGUUUCGGUGAUGCAGUUAACACAUUAAACAUUCCGCCUGGGGAGUACGGUCGCAAGAUUAAAACUCAAAGGAAUAGACGGGGACCCGCACAAGUGGUGGAGCAUGUGGUUUAAUUCGAAGAUACGCGAAGAGCCUUACCUAGCCUUGACAUAUUUUAGAACUCCGCAGAGAUGUAGAGGUGCCUUCGGGAGCUAAUAUACAGGUGCUGCACGGCUGUCGUCAGCUCGUGUCGUGAGAUGUUGGGUUAAGUCCCGCAACGAGCGCAACCCUCGUUCUUAGUUACUAACGGUUCGGCCGAGGACUCUAAGAAGACUGCCUUCGUAAGGAGGAGGAAGGUGAGGACGACGUCAAGUCAUCAUGGCCCUUACGGCUAGGGCAACACACGUGCUACAAUGGUUAGGACAAUGAGACGCAAUACCGCGAGGUGGAGCAAAUCUAUAAACCUAAUCUCAGUUCGGAUUGUAGUCUGCAACUCGACUACAUGAAGCUGGAAUCACUAGUAAUCGUAGAUCAGCUAUGCUA
This 835-nucleotide ribosomal RNA is filed under the name uncultured Sulfurovum sp. RNAcentral describes it as "bacterial SSU rRNA". It matches the Rfam family "Bacterial small subunit ribosomal RNA", at positions 524 to 1359 of the family's 1533-position model. Lineage: Bacteria; Pseudomonadati; Campylobacterota; Epsilonproteobacteria; Campylobacterales; Sulfurovaceae. The record is from RNAcentral.